This 210-nucleotide unclassified non-coding RNA is filed under the name Hevea brasiliensis (rubber tree). The record is from RNAcentral. Lineage: Eukaryota; Viridiplantae; Streptophyta; Magnoliopsida; Malpighiales; Euphorbiaceae.
CAAGAUUCGAAUCAGUUCAACACCUCCUUUUGUUCCUCAGUUCAGAUAUUCCAACUUUCAAAGAGAUCCCCGGAGGAACGGUCUUAUACCACAUUGACAACAUUUGAAACAAAGAGAAAUAAAAGGCACCCUCGGGAAGAGAUCUCCAACUGUCAAAAGUCUGGUCGGUCUACCUUGUCCUUCGACGUUGAGAUCUGGUGCCACGAACCA